AAAAUAAAAAAAAAUUAAAAGGGCUUGGGAUGUGGAUUAGUGGUAAACUGCCCCUGGGUUCAAUUCCCAGUAUCAAAACCAAAACAACAACAACAAAAUAAAACCAUGAACUGUCUGUCUGACUCUAGCACCUAUACCCUCAGCACUACACCGUACUGCUCUUUAGAGGCUCUGUAUCAAAUGGUUAAGGUUGUAACCUCUGGAGCCUUGCUCCUUUAGUGUGAAUUUCUGAUUCUAUGUGUGACCUUGGGUGAGUCACUUAAUCUCUCUGCAUUUUUUUCUCCAUCUGUGCAAUGGGAUAACAACACCAAAAUUUUGCUGUAAAAUUUCAUACAGCCACCCACAUACCACUUAGAAUACUCCCCAGCAUUUCCAGUCUUUGUUUUAACUAUAAAUUCAAAAUUACUCAAAUAUGUAAGUAUUUCAUGCCUGCACAGUUAUUUUCUGCCCCUGAACUUUUGCAGUUUGUUUUUGACAUUGCCUGAAGGAGCUAUAAAUUUAGAUCUUUAAUAUUAUUUUCAAGAAAGGUUAUAUUUGCAGUUACACUGACGGUCUGAAGAAAAGAAAACUUCCUCCGUGCAUCUUAGAGGUUGUGUCCCAUUAUUGCCCUCCCCCCAGGCACUAUGAAUUAAAUUAUAUCAAUUUUAUGAAUUCCAAAAUUGUAUCGUGAAUGGUACAAGCAUAUUCUAUUCCAUUAUUUGGGAGGUAGAAGUAUUGAUUGCUUAUAUGCAAAUAUCUCAAGUGAACAGGAAUUUUUAUAACCUUGCUUUGCCUUUCUUCAUUUUUAUGCCUGGAGCCUGGGAAAUGGAUGGGACCUGGGUUUCUCCUGAUCUCCCAGAACCCUGAUCUAUUCCAAGAUACCAGGAUUGGAAGAAGCUAAGUCCCAGAAGUCCCUCUGGGGGACUGAAGUGUGGAUAAGAGGUCUGCCAUUGUGGGAUGGCCCACAGGGGCAGCAGAGCAUGACUGGACACAAGUCUUGAAGGUGGUGUGACCUGGUUCGUCGCUGGAGACUUCACAUUGACUCUCCUGGGUUCCAGUAAAUGACAGGGAAGCAGCACUGCGUCUGUCCUUCAGUACUACUGUCAUCCGCAGAUGGAGUGAGUGCUCUCUAACGCUUGGUAAAGCUGCUAAUUCACCAAGUGGUCAGCAGAAACAGAGGCUGGGAACGGUGACUGCAUACACAGUGUGUCUGGCUCUCUUCGUAACACCCCCCUCGGCAGAGACAGCUGGGGAAAGGCCACCCAGCGUUUAAGGUGAUUUAAGAGACAUUCACAGAGGGCUUGAAAGACAUCUCACACCCACGGGGGGAAAUCCUUGGCAAAAGAAGGACACAUACAUGGCUAUCAGAAAAUGUUUCUGAGAACAUGGAAUUCUUAAAAUGACUUCUCAUGGAUGAAUAAAGAGAAUAUUUAAGGAUCUUCUUUCACAUCCCGCUCCUCCUCACCCAUGUCCUGCCUCAUGCAGAGUGUGCUGUUGGGCACUGUUUGAAGUAUCCUCCGAGAGAGAGGAGCAGGUCACAGAGACCCGCAAGAGCAGAGCUCAGUCCUCAGACCUCAGUGCGCUCAGCAGGCCCUGGGCCUGUGGUGAUAGAUCCAGGCCAGGGCUCGGCGUUCUGGUGUGCACUUGGAGAAGCAAGAGAGUAUAGCAUUUAUUCUGGAAAAAGCUACACCUGCUUAUGCAGCAGGAGGAGCAGCGGGAGGAGGGGGCAACAGAGGAGUUGCCUGCUUGUCCCAAGUCCCAAGUGACAGUGAGCCUGAGCUAGGCCUGGCUGACUCCUUGGCUCCUAGGCCAGUGCUCAAGUCAGUUCUGCUGAUUCCCUCUGUUCCGAGUGGACAGAGCCACAGAUGGACUAUCCCUUCCCCAUCACAACUAGAGGAUUUUCCCAGUGAUAGAAAUCCUCACUUCCUGCUCAUCUUACCUAAUGAGCCCUUGCCUUCCUGGAAAGCCACCAUGCGAUGCCAGGGUCCUGAGACAACCCCACACAGUGAUCAUAAAUCCAGGGUUGGACCCUCUAACCCUCUAACUCAAGGCCCAUUUCUGGAAGCUUCUACCUUGAGGGCCCCUUCUUGCAGCUCAGUCUUGAAUCCACAACCUCACUGGUAGGCUGGCCAAUGUCCUGACUUCCUGCUGUGUGGACAGCAGAGCUAUUUACCUAUUUCCUGGUUUUGCAAGGAGAAAGGGAGGGAGACAGGGAGAGAGAGGAUAAUGGAGAAAGAAGAGAGGAAGAAAGAGGGACCCUCAUGUCUUGGCCUUUCUCAAUCUGCCCUUGUGCUCUUCCGCCCAAGAAUACAAGCAUCUCGAAGAUGCUGCAUGUACAGUAGGAAAUGCAAGAGAACAGAACAGAGUUUCAGCUCAGACUGGUCAAUAUUUUUUAAAGUCAGUAAGAGAAGGGGCCCCAAGGAUUUUUUUUUUUUUUUGCAGGGCGGGGGUGGCUUAGUCUCAGUUCACUUUUGGACGGUUGCAGCUGGAAGCAAAAUCUGUUUUUAGAGCAGCAAACGAACCUGUCAUCCUGGUGGAAGUGAACACGGGAAGCCAGGUCGGUGGGUCUCUGCUCUGCGGGAACUGGCCACAGAUGCGCCUUCUUCCUCCUUCGAGGAAGGGAUUGUGGGCAGGCCCUGGGGGUGGGGGGUGUUUCUCACGUCCAAAGCUCUAGGAGUAGUUGAGUUUUUGACUCUCUGUCAGCUCUCCUAAGAGACUAGAAGUCAAACUCCCUAAAAACUAAGAUUGUUCCCUGGAGCUAGAAAGAGGCGUCCCUUCCAGUUCUGUGGUGACAGUGAGACCCGCAGCCCAGGAGAGGCCUCUGGGGAGUGUUCUCCUGGGGAGCCAGGCCCACCUCUGAGCUGCUGGGGUGAAACCCCCUUUUGGGAACUUGGCCCAGAUACUUCCUCUAUUUACCAAUGAGAUUGGGGGCCCAGUUUGGUGGGAGAAAAGCCCAUCUCCUACUGGUCCCAGCACCCGCAGGGCUGGGCCAUGACCUCAGUGACCUCAGGCUCAUCUGCCAGGCGUUCAGGGCCCGUCAGGGGCUGUCUGUCCACCUCUCUCUACAGUGCUUUACACCCAGAGUUGGCUUGACAGCACCUUGGUCCCCAGGCUGUGCCUGCAGGCUGGGGAGCAUUCUGAGAGUUCCCAUCUUUUGCAUUUCUGUGGUUCCAGUGAUGAUCAAUACCUGUUACAUAUUGGCCAAUCUGAACUGAGUCCUUCCACCACUCAGCUCUCCAUUCUAACCCAAACAGCACUCACAAGAGAAUCUUCACCCAGAGGACGUUGUGAGGGAGAUGAAGAAGGGCUCGGGCAGCCAGGGCAAGGUGGUGAGUGGGUCAGAACCAAGGAGCAUGGAGAGGGUCUUCGGAUGAGGUCAACUUCCUGCUUGAUGAAAGCGCCCGGGGACACAAGUGGGGGACCCAACCAGACAGACACUUCCGUACUCCUGCUCCUAAGUGGGGAUCCAACAGAAAAACUAAAACAGACGCAAGGACAGAGGGGACACCAAUCAAUAAUAGUGAGGAGCACGUGGACAGGGGAGGAGGAACUUCCAGAGACUCAAAACUCCCCCACUGGACCCCCAGCUGUGGGGCCCCUUCUCUUAGCAGAAGUCUCUGUCGCUUUUGCAAUAAACCCACUUCUUGCUUGUA
Molecule: non-coding RNA, 3632 nt
Organism: Ictidomys tridecemlineatus (thirteen-lined ground squirrel)
Lineage: Eukaryota; Metazoa; Chordata; Mammalia; Rodentia; Sciuridae
Source: RefSeq, a predicted model, not a curated record